CCUACGGGAGGCAGCAGUGAGGAAUAUUGGUCAAUGGGCGCGAGCCUGAACCAGCCAAGUAGCGUGAGGGAAGACUGCCCUAUGGGUUGUAAACCUCUUUUAUAAGGGGAUAAAGGUCGCCACGUGUGGCUUUUUGCAUGUACCUCAUGAAUAAGGAUCGGCUAACUCCGUGCCAGCAGCCGCGGUAAUACGGAGGAUCCGAGCGUUAUCCGGAUUUAUUGGGUUUAAAGGGAGCGUAGGUGGGUAGUUAAGCCAGUUGUGAAAAUUUGGGGCUCAACCGUUAUAGUGCAGUGGAAACUGGCGGCCUUGAGUGCAGUGGAGGCAGGCGGAAUUCGUGGUGUAGCGGUGAAAUGCUUAGAUAUCACGAAGAACUCCGAUUGCGAAGGCAGCCUACCGAAGUGCCACUGACGCUGAUGCUCGAAAGUGUGGGUAUCGAACAGGAUUAGAUACCCGGGUAGUC
RNAcentral lists this ribosomal RNA (460 nucleotides) under uncultured bacterium. RNAcentral's name for it is "partial 16S ribosomal RNA". It matches the Rfam family "Bacterial small subunit ribosomal RNA", at positions 338 to 795 of the family's 1533-position model. The record is from RNAcentral.